ACGCUGACAGAUCACUGAACAGACAGAGUUUUUCCUGUAUGUCCUAGGCGUCACAAUCAAUACAAUAUAAAGGUUACAACCAGGAACAGUAUUCAACAUACAGAUUGCAUAAGGAAGUAUCAAAAACAUAAACAGCUAAACUAUUACAAACAUUCACAUACAUGCUUUUACAUCUCAAUUAUAUAUUACAUUAAACUUCCAAAUACAAUCUAAGCUAUUACAACUUUUGCUUGUUACAAGUUUGAUACAUUUGUUCUUUUCAUCUUUACACCCCUAGGAUAUGCCGACUCGGGGUACUUAUAUUUCUGGUGUCUGGGGUAGGGCGCUACCUACGGAGCUAUGCCCUUGCCUCGCG
Molecule: long non-coding RNA, 355 nt
Filed under: Ananas comosus (pineapple)
Lineage: Eukaryota; Viridiplantae; Streptophyta; Magnoliopsida; Poales; Bromeliaceae
Description: long non-coding RNA (ACOM_LNC043472)
Source: RNAcentral